RNAcentral lists this long non-coding RNA (480 nucleotides) under Ricinus communis (castor bean). RNAcentral's name for it is "long non-coding RNA (RCOM_LNC001913)". The record is from RNAcentral. Lineage: Eukaryota; Viridiplantae; Streptophyta; Magnoliopsida; Malpighiales; Euphorbiaceae.
UCGAAUUUUAACUUGUUGAUUUAAACCAGAGCCAGCAAAUUUUGGUUUGUAGUACCGUUCCUCAAGUGCAUGAUGAUCUAGCAAAGGCAUGUGCUACUGAACAGCAUGUUCCGUAGGAUGCCUGCAGAAAGCAAUGCAAAUGGAUUUCCACAUCUAACUUCUUUUUGUUCUUUUGCAAAUGAACUAUUGGUUAUCACAGGUUCUCCAACAGCAGAGGCAAGAUCUCCUGGCAAUGUGAAUUUAGUUCAGGUGGAUGGUAGCAACGGUAGUGUAAACACAUUAAUCUAUCCAUAUAUGCGACUGAAAGUAGAUUCAAGUGAUCCUGCGACAGACAUAGAUGUAUCGAAAAGAGAGGUACCCUUUUGCUUUCAUCUGAAUUGUGAUGCCUUCAUGUGGUAUUUCGGGCUUUCUGCAAAUCUUUUUGAGGGAAAGUUUCUGAUGCCAUAACACUAUUUUGAUAUCAUCUAGGCUUACUUAAGU